Molecule: long non-coding RNA, 589 nt
Filed under: Marmota monax (woodchuck)
Lineage: Eukaryota; Metazoa; Chordata; Mammalia; Rodentia; Sciuridae
Source: RNAcentral
GAAAGAUGCCAAGUGAUGGGAUGUCAGGUCCUCAUCAGGCUCUCCAGCUUCAGUGCAUCCUUGUUUCUGCUGGCUGAAUCCCUGUUCAUCAACUCUAUCAUUUAUACUAAAUUUUUUGGCUUUUGACCCCCCUUUCAAUCCUUUCAGCUAUCACCCUAUUUCUCAGUGGGGUCAUUUACCCUGGCGUCAGAAACAUUUAGUCUGGUGGUCUUCACCCUGAUCUUCUCCCUUUCCCUCUUAUCAGGCAAGGACAGCCUGCCAUGGGCUUCACUCUCUUUAUCAGGGUGAGGGGAAGGAACUUGUUUGAGGCCUUACUGGAGGGAUCUGUGGAUGUGCCUGGUGAAACUGCAGGUCUUUUAAAAUGGAGUUGCUUAGGCUCAGGCCUAAGGCCAUUCUAACAAGGCUUGUGCCAGUGUCCCUGGCAAGAAGAACACUUUUGAAAGCAUUUGUUUUCUUUGAGAGGAAAGAAUUUCUUUCCUUGAGAGGAAAGAAUAAUCACUUAACAGUUCCCUGUGUUUGGCCAAAAUAAUUACUUUAAAAGGAAAAAGGCUAGAAAUGUUGAAUCCUGUGCUAUAUACCCAGCCCCCCC